Molecule: ribosomal RNA, 876 nt
Filed under: uncultured organism
Description: bacterial SSU rRNA
Rfam family: Bacterial small subunit ribosomal RNA
Source: RNAcentral
CAGGGGGCGCAUCAAGUCUGCUGUUAAAGACCGGAGCUAAACUCCGGUAGAGCAGUGGAAACUGGUGCGCUAGAGGGGCGACAGGGGUAGAGGGAAUUCCCAGUGUAGCGGUGAAAUGCGUAGAGAUUGGGAAGAACACCGGUGGCGAAAGCGCUCUACUGGGUCGCACCUGACCCUCAGGGACGAAAGCUAAGGGAGCGAAAGGGAUUAGAUACCCCUGUAGUCUUAGCCGUAAACGAUGGAUACUAGGCGUGGUUUGUAUCGACCCAAGCCGUGCCGAAGCUAACGCGUUAAGUAUCCCGCCUGGGGAGUACGCACGCAAGUGUGAAACUCAAAGGAAUUGACGGGGGCCCGCACAAGCGGUGGAGGAUGUGGUUUAAUUCGAUGCAACGCGAAGAACCUUACCAGGGCUUGACAUCCCGCGAAUCUCGCUGAAAGGUGAGAGUGCCUACGGGAACGCGGAGACAGGUGGUGCAUGGCUGUCGUCAGCUCGUGUCGUGAGAUGUUGGGUUAAGUCCCGCAACGAGCGCAACCCUCGUCCUUAGUUGCCAGCCUUAAGUGGGGCACUCUAGGGAGACUGCCGGUGACAAACCGGAGGAAGGUGAGGAUGACGUCAAGUCAGCAUGCCCCUUAUGCUCUGGGCGACACACGUCCUACAAUGGUCGGGACAAAGGGGAGCGAGCUCGCGAGAGUCAGCGAAUCCCAGCAAACUCGGCCUCAGUUCAGAUAGCAGGCUGCAACUCGCCUGCUUGAAGGAGGAAUCGCUAGUAAUCGCAGGUCAGCAUACUGCGGUGAAUUCGUUCCCGGGCCUUGUACACACCGCCCGUCACACCAUGGAAGCUGGCCAAGCCCGAAGUCGUUACCCUAACCUUACGA